This 460-nucleotide ribosomal RNA is filed under the name uncultured bacterium. Its description in RNAcentral is "partial 16S ribosomal RNA". It matches the Rfam family "Bacterial small subunit ribosomal RNA", at positions 338 to 795 of the family's 1533-position model. The record is from RNAcentral.
CCUACGGGAGGCAGCAGUGAGGAAUAUUGGUCAAUGGUCGAAAGACUGAACCAGCCAAGUAGCGUGCAGGAUGACGGCCCUAUGGGUUGUAAACUUCUUUUAUCUGGGGAUAAAGUGCGUCAUGUGUGAUGUUUUGUAGGUACCGCAUGAAUAAGGAUCGGCUAACUCCGUGCCAGCAGCCGCGGUAAUACGGAGGAUCCGAGCGUUAGCCGGAUUUAUUGGGUUUAAAGGGAGCGUAGGCCGGAGUUUAAGCGAGCUGUGAAAUGGCGCGGCUCAACCGUGGCAUUGCGGUGCAAACUGGGUUGCUUGAGUGCGCGAGAGGUAUGCGGAAUGCGUGGUGUAGCGGUGAAAUGCUUAGAUAUCACGAAGAACUCCGAUUGCGAAGGCAGCAUACGGGAGCGCAACUGACGCUGAGGCUCGAAAGCGCGGGUAUCGAACAGGAUUAGAUACCCGAGUAGUC